RNA transcript from Vicia villosa (hairy vetch), 4523 nucleotides. It is a transcript of the gene named translocase of chloroplast 120, chloroplastic-like, with no coding region annotated. The transcript is spliced from 4 exons. The record is from RefSeq and is a predicted model, not a curated record. Lineage: Eukaryota; Viridiplantae; Streptophyta; Magnoliopsida; Fabales; Fabaceae.
AACUUCAAAAUCACAUCACAUAACACACGUGAAACAUAACCAACCUCUUUCACGCCCCCAAAUUACUGCAAUUAAUUAUUAAUCUUCUUUUUUGCGCCAUUUUUUCUCGAUCAUGUUUAUGCUCCAUUUUCUACCUUCGAUCUAAACUCCAAAAUCAUCCCUAUCCGUUGAUCUUCAACUGAAUCAUAAUUCAUCCCUUCUUCUCUGUUAUUCUGCGCAUUAACAGGGUUUUAUAAGGAGUUAGAGAUUUGUGAUGGAUAUUGAGGGAGAAAAGAAGAUGUUGGACGUUGGGGUGUAUGAAGAGAGUGUUGGGAGGUAUAAUGAGUUGAAGAAUUCGGAAGGAGACGAGGUUUUUGAGGAGGCUAUAGAUCCGGUUAAACAUUUCAAUGAUCAGGUUGAUGCUAAUAUUGGUGAAGGUGAUGUUGCUGAUACUGUUAGUGCAUUGGUUGAUGAAAUUCGUGAUAACACGGAUGAACUUGAUAACUUUCAUGAGGCAGUUGAGGUUGCUGAUGCGAGCGUUGGAGUUUUGAAGGAUGAAAAGGAAGUUGAAGUGGUUGCUGAUCGGGAUGUGCUUGAGGAUCGGUGUUUGGAAAGUAGUAGUGAUUUUAGUGGUGGAAAGGAAGUAACUGAUUUAGACACUGAUGGGAGCGUGGUUUUUCAGGAGGCUAGAGGCUUGGUGAAAGGAAACUCUGGUUUGUUGAGUGGGAAGGAUGAAAAUGAGGAUCUUGAAUUCAUGACUCCUAAACAAAAUGGUGGUAUGCUUUUUGUAAAUGGGAGCACAGACAAAAUGGAUUAUGAUGUUACUGAGUUUCGUACAGAAUCUGGAUCUGAUGAGGAUAUGAGAAACCAGGGUGCUGAUGCUGGGUAUUUGAAAGAUGGUGGCUUGGAUCCCAAUCUCCGGGAUGAAAAAAUAGAGGAACAGUGUAAUGCUUCCGGUGAUACUUAUGGUGAAAUUCAAAAUGAUUCAUAUGAUAAUGCACACAAACAUUCAGCUAACAUGGAUUUAGAACCUAAUGGUGAAGUGUUUAUAGAAAUGGAUGAUGAGAUAAUUGGCACUGAUAUUAGCCACGGGGAUAUGAAUGGAAAAGAAAUGGGAAUAUCUGAUAUUCAGAAGACUGAAUGCAAAGAUUAUGGUAAUGAUGAAACUAAGGAUGAUGAUGUUGGAUCAAGUUCAGAGCAUCUGGAAACAAUUGGUGAAACAGGAGUUUUUUCUCCGGUCGUAGAUGAAAGGAAAGUGAUUGAAACUGCUGGAAUCCCAUCCCUAUCAGAAAAUUCUUUGGCUACUGAGAUGCUGGCUGUGCAGACUACUCCAACUAAUUCAGAAGAAGAAAACAUGAAUGUUUACCGGUCUAAGAUUUCUAAUGGAGAAAGUCAAGGAAAUAAUGAAAACUCAUCUGUUGUUGGGGAACCUAAAAAGAUACUUGAGAAUAAUACAAAAGAGAAACAAAUGACCCAGAUCACCGAAGAACAGAAUAGUGAGUUUGUUUCCUCAUCUGGAAAGUCUGUUGCUACUAGCACCCCUCUUGUUCAUCCUGCUGGCCUUGGAUCUGCAGCUCCAUUAUUGAAACCUGCUCCCCGAGUAGUGCAGCAGUCGCGUGCGAAUCAUAAUGUAUCUAAUACACAGUCCCAAAAAAUGGAAGACUCCUCAACUGUGGAGGCUGAGGAGUAUGACGAGACUCGAGAAAAACUUCAAAUGAUUAGGGUGAAGUUUUUGCGGCUAGCUAGUAGGUUCGGGCAGACUCCCCAUAAUGUUGUUGUAGCACAAGUUUUGUAUAGAUUAGGACUGGCUGAACAGCUCAGAGGGAGGAAUGGGGGCCGUGUUGGCGCUUUUAGCUUUGAUCGUGCAAGUGCAAUGGCCGAGCAACUCGAAUCAGCGGGUCAAGAACCACUUGAUUUCUCUUGUACAAUAAUGAUUAUUGGAAAGACAGGAGUUGGAAAAAGUGCAACUAUCAAUUCUAUCUUUGAUGAAGUUAAAUUUAAUACUGAUGCUUUUAAUAUGGGAACAAAAAAGGUUCAGGAUGUUGUGGGAACAGUACAGGGCACUAAAGUCCGAGUCAUUGAUACACCAGGACUUCUACCUUCUUGGUCAGACCAGCGACAUAAUGAGAAGAUCUUGCACUCUGUCAAGCGCUUUAUUAAGAAAUCACCACCUGAUAUUGUGCUGUAUCUUGAUAGAAUAGAUACACCGAGCCGGGAUUUUAGUGAUAUGCCGCUCUUACGCACGAUUACUGACAUUUUUGGACCAUCCAUAUGGUUCAAUGCUAUCGUGGGUUUGACUCAUGCAGCAUCUGCACCACCUGAUGGCCCUAAUGGCACUCCUUCCAGUUAUGACAUGUUUGUCACACAGCGCUCUCAUGUUGUGCAGCAAGCUAUUCGUCAAGCAGCUGGUGAUAUGCGCCUCAUGAAUCCUGUAUCUUUGGUGGAGAACCACUCUGCAUGCAGAAUCGAUACAUCCGGCCAAAGAGUGUUGCCUAAUGGUCUGGUUUGGAAACCACAUCUGUUACUCUUAUCAUUUGCGUCAAAAGUUCUGGCUGAAGCAAAUGCUCUUCUUAAGUUACAAGAGAGUCCGCCGGAAAAGCAUUACACAGCUCGCACGAGAGGGCUCCCAUUACCAUAUCUUCUAUCAUCCCUUUUGCAGUCAAGACCGCAAUUAAAGUUGCCUGAGGAGCAAUUCAGUGAGGAGGACAGUCUCGAUGACGUUCUUGAUGAGCCAUCAGAUUCUGGUGAUGAAACAGACCCUGAUGACUUACCGCCAUUUAAACCUUUGACAAAGGCCCAGAUCAGAAACCUUUCUAGAGCUCAGAAGAAAGCAUAUCUGGAUGAAAUUGAGUACCGAGAAAAGCUUUUUAUGAAGAAACAACUAAAGGAUGAGAAAAAGCAACGAAAGAUAAUGAAGAAAAUGGAAGAAUCGUUAAAAGAUCUGCCAAGUGAUUAUAGUGAAAACGCUGAGGAAGAAAGUGGUGGUGCAGCUUCUGUUCCUGUUCCCAUGCCAGAUAUGUCCUUGCCGGCUUCCUUUGAUUCUGAGACUCCCACUCACCGGUAUCGUUUUCUUGAUUCAUCCAACCAGUGGCUUGUAAGACCUGUCCUAGAAACUCAUGGUUGGGAUCAUGAUGUGGGUUAUGAAGGCUUAAAUGUAGAAAGAUUGUUUGUUGUUAAAAACAAGUUACCCUUGUCUUUUAGUGGUCAAGUUACCAAGGAUAAAAGGGAUGCUAAUGUUCAGAUGGAAAUAGCCAGUUCAGCUAAGUAUGGAGAAGGGAAAGCAACUUCGUUAGGUUUUGAUAUGCAGACGGUUGGAAAAGACUUAGCUUACACAUUACGUAGUGAGACAAAAUUUUGUAAUUUUAGGAGAAAUAAAGCAACUGCGGGUCUCUCAUUUACUCUCUUGGGUGAUGCAUUGUCAGCUGGAGUUAAAGUCGAAGACAAGUUGAUUGCUAAUAAGCAAUUUGAGGUUGUUAUUGCUGGCGGUGCAAUGACAGGGCGUGAUGAUGUUGCCUAUGGUGGCAGUUUGGAGGCCCGCUUGAGAGAUAAAAAUUACCCUCUAGGACGCUCUUUAUCAACGCUUGGGCUUUCCGUUAUGGAUUGGCAUGGAGAUCUUGCUGUUGGAUGCAAUUUACAAUCACAAAUUCCCAUUGGACGGUAUACAAACCUUGUUGCGCGAGGCAAUUUGAACAAUCGUGGGGCUGGACAGAUAAGCAUUCGAUUAAAUAGUUCAGAACAGCUUCAAAUUGCUUUGAUUGGUCUCAUCCCUCUACUUAAGAAGAUUGUUGGUUAUUCUCAGCAAUUGGAGUUUGGACAAUGAUGGCGGUGUUAAAUCACGGGAGCUGCAACACCUGCAGAGUAAUAGUAUAUUCCAGGAACAAUUUUCACCAAGCAUUAGAUUCGGUGUGCCCAUAACAAGUCAAUUUUGGAUUUUUUGCCGAACAUCCUAUAUAGGCAUAAUCUUUUACUUUUAUUCAGGCUAGGCCAUUGCUUGAGCUACAAAUAUUUAAAUUGGGCUGAUUUUGGUAUCAUUUUAAAGUUAAAAGGUUAUUGAAUCAUCAUCCAAUUCCAACGAGUGCAAUGUCGAAAUAAGUCUCAUACUAUAGUGCAGUUACCAUUACAAACCCAUGACAUUCUCUCACUUAAAGAGUUGAACUACCUCUUUGAAAAGUUGUUACAGAGAGCUUAAGUAUAAACUGGAGAGAUGCGAGAAAAGUUGUUACAGAGAGCUUUAAGUAUAAACUGGAGAGACACGAAAUCAGUGGUCUAUAUAAGGAGGUACAACACCAAACGAAGAUGCGAGAAAAGUUGUUACAGAGAGCUUUAAGUAUAAACUGGAGAGACACGAAAUCAGUGGUCUAUAUAAGGAGGAUACAACACAACACCAAACGAAGUAUGAAUUUUAGGAAUCAUUGUGUGAAUGUUGAAUAGUUUUCUCUUUUUUCUUUGUAGUUUUGUUUUUACAAGAGAUUGGAUGAUUGUUGUUAAAACUUGUACAUGGAAGACUAGAGUCAAUCUAAGAGACUCAAGAAUUUUUGUUUGAA